AUUGAACGCUGGCGGCAUGCCUUACACAUGCAAGUCGAACGGUAACAGGUCUUCGGAUGCUGACGAGUGGCGAACGGGUGAGUAAUACAUCGGAACGUGCCCAGACGUGGGGGAUAACGAGGCGAAAGCUGUGCUAAUACCGCAUACGAUCUAAGGAUGAAAGCAGGGGACCGCAAGGCCUUGCGCGUUUGGAGCGGCCGAUGGCAGAUUAGGUAGUUGGUGGGAUAAAAGCUUACCAAGCCGACGAUCUGUAGCUGGUCUGAGAGGACGACCAGCCACACUGGGACUGAGACACGGCCCAGACUCCUACGGGAGGCAGCAGUGGGGAAUUUUGGACAAUGGGCGAAAGCCUGAUCCAGCAAUGCCGCGUGCAGGAUGAAGGCCUUCGGGUUGUAAACUGCUUUUGUACGGAACGAAAAGGCUCUGGCUAAUACCUGGGGCACAUGACGGUACCGGAAGAAUAAGCACCGGCUAACUACGUG
Molecule: ribosomal RNA, 482 nt
Filed under: uncultured bacterium
Lineage: Bacteria
Description: partial 16S ribosomal RNA
Rfam family: Bacterial small subunit ribosomal RNA
Source: RNAcentral